GACAGAGGGUGCAAACGUUGUUCGGAAUUACUGGGCGUAAAGCGCACGUAGGCGGCUUCUUAAGUCAGGGGUGAAAUCCUGGAGCUCAACUCCAGAACUGCCUUUGAUACUGAGAAGCUUGAGUCCGGGAGAGGUGAGUGGAACUGCGAGUGUAGAGGUGAAAUUCGUAGAUAUUCGCAAGAACACCAGUGGCGAAGGCGGCUCACUGGCCCGGUACUGACGCUGAGGUGCGAAAGCGUGGGGAGCAAACAGG
RNAcentral lists this ribosomal RNA (253 nucleotides) under uncultured bacterium. RNAcentral describes it as "partial 16S ribosomal RNA". It matches the Rfam family "Bacterial small subunit ribosomal RNA", at positions 524 to 776 of the family's 1533-position model. The record is from RNAcentral.